UAACGCGUGGGUAACCUGCCCUAUACACAUGGAUAACAUACUGAAAAGUUUACUAAUACAUGAUAAUAUAUAUUUACGGCAUCGUAGAUAUAUCAAAGUGUUAGCGGUAUAGGAUGGACCCGCGUCUGAUUAGCUAGUUGGUGAGAUAACUGCCCACCAAGGCGACGAUCAGUAGCCGACCUGAGAGGGUGAUCGGCCACAUUGGAACUGAGACACGGUCCAAACUCCUACGGGAGGCAGCAGAG
RNAcentral lists this ribosomal RNA (245 nucleotides) under uncultured Peptostreptococcus sp. RNAcentral's name for it is "partial 16S ribosomal RNA". It matches the Rfam family "Bacterial small subunit ribosomal RNA", at positions 111 to 354 of the family's 1533-position model. Lineage: Bacteria; Bacillati; Bacillota; Clostridia; Peptostreptococcales; Peptostreptococcaceae. The record is from RNAcentral.